RNAcentral lists this ribosomal RNA (369 nucleotides) under uncultured bacterium. RNAcentral's name for it is "bacterial SSU rRNA". It matches the Rfam family "Bacterial small subunit ribosomal RNA", at positions 606 to 975 of the family's 1533-position model. The record is from RNAcentral.
GGCUUAACCCAGAGGCUGCUUCCGAAACUGCCGUGCUAGAGUGUGAGAGAGGCGAGUGGAAUUACGGGUGUAGCGGUGAAAUGCGUAGAUAUCCGUAGGAACAUCCGAGGCGAAGGCGGCUCGCUGGAUCACAACUGACGCUGAGGGACGAAAGCUAGGGGAGCAAACAGGAUUAGAUACCCUGGUAGUCCUAGCCCUAAACCAUCAGGACUUGGGGUUUGCCCUGUACGGGGCAAGUCCCGUAGCUAACGCGUUAAGUCCUGCGCCUGGGGAGUACGGUCGCAAGACUGAAACUCAAAGGAAUUGACGGGGGCCCGCACAAGCGGUGGAACAUGUGGUUCAAUUCGACGCAACGCGAAGAACCUUACC